Molecule: ribosomal RNA, 410 nt
Filed under: uncultured bacterium
Lineage: Bacteria
Description: bacterial SSU rRNA
Rfam family: Bacterial small subunit ribosomal RNA
Source: RNAcentral
GACGAACGCUGGCGGCGUGCCUAACACAUGCAAGUCGAGCGGAGACAGGGAGUAGCUUGCUAUGAGCUGUUUUAGCGGCGGACGGGUGAGUAACGCGUGAGCAACCUUUCCCAGACAGGGGAAUAACACACCGAAAGGUGUACUAAUACCGCAUAAGACCACGGGAUCACAUGGUUCUGGGGUAAAAGAUUUAUCGGUUUGGGGUGGGCUCGCGUCCGAUUAGGUAGUUGGUGAGGUAACGGCCCACCAAGCCGACGAUCGGUAGCCGACCUGAGAGGGUGAUCGGCCACAUUGGGACUGAGACACGGCCCAAACUCCUACGGGAGGCAGCAGUGGGGAAUAUUGGGCAAUGGAGGAAACUCUGACCCAGCAACGCCGCGUGGAGGAAGAAGGUUUUCGGAUCGUAAACU